GGUCUUAUAGUUUAAAAAACAUUAAAUUGCAAAUUUAAAAUUGAUUAUAUUCUAAGACCU
This 60-nucleotide transfer RNA is filed under the name Chudania hellerina. Its description in RNAcentral is "tRNA-Cys". It matches the Rfam family "tRNA". From Rfam's summary of the family: Transfer RNA (tRNA) molecules are approximately 80 nucleotides in length. Their secondary structure includes four short double-helical elements and three loops (D, anti-codon, and T loops). The record is from RNAcentral. Lineage: Eukaryota; Metazoa; Arthropoda; Insecta; Hemiptera; Cicadellidae.